This 125-nucleotide small RNA is filed under the name Marmota monax (woodchuck). The record is from RNAcentral. Lineage: Eukaryota; Metazoa; Chordata; Mammalia; Rodentia; Sciuridae.
GCUGGGCGCGUUGGCACACACCUGUCAUCCCAGCAGCUCCGGAGGCUGAGACAGGAGGAUUGAGAGUUCAAAGCCAGCCUCAGCCACAGCAAGGUGCUAAGCAACUCAGUGAGACUCUGUCUCUA